UACGGGGGGAGCAAGCGUUGUUCGGAUUUACUGGGCGUAAAGGGCGCGUAGGCGGCCAGCACAAGUCAGUUGUGAAAUCUCCGAGCUUAACUCGGAAAGGUCAACUGAUACUGUGCGGCUAGAGUGCGGAAGGGGCAACUGGAAUUCUUGGUGUAGCGGUGAAAUGCGCAGAUAUCAGGAGGAACACCAGUAGCGAAGGCGGCUCGCUGGGCCACACCUGACGCUGAGACGCGAAAGCUAGGGGAGCGAACAGG
This 254-nucleotide ribosomal RNA is filed under the name uncultured bacterium. RNAcentral's name for it is "partial 16S ribosomal RNA". It matches the Rfam family "Bacterial small subunit ribosomal RNA", at positions 524 to 776 of the family's 1533-position model. The record is from RNAcentral.